This 440-nucleotide ribosomal RNA is filed under the name uncultured Leptospiraceae bacterium. RNAcentral describes it as "bacterial SSU rRNA". It matches the Rfam family "Bacterial small subunit ribosomal RNA", at positions 936 to 1382 of the family's 1533-position model. The record is from RNAcentral. Lineage: Bacteria; Pseudomonadati; Spirochaetota; Leptospiria; Leptospirales; Leptospiraceae.
AUCAUGUUGUUUAAUUCGAUGAUACGCGAAAACCUUACCUGGGCUUGAACUGUGCAUGACAGGUGUAGAGAUACACCCUCCUUCGGGCAUGUACAGAGGUGCUGCAUGGCUGUCGUCAGCUCGUGUCGUGAGAUGUUGGGUUAAGUCCCGCAACGAGCGCAACCCUACCCUCGUUGCUACCAGGUUAUGCUGGGCACUCUAGGGGAACUGCCGGUGAUAAACCGGAGGAAGUGGGGACGACGUCAAGUCAUCACGGCCCUUAUGUCCAGGGCUACACACGUGCUACAAUGGCCGGUACAAAGAGUUGCGAUGCCGCGAGGUGGAGCCAAUCUCAAAAAACCGGUCUCAGUUCGGAUUGUAGUCUGCAACUCGACUGCAUGAAGCUGGAAUCGCUAGUAAUCGCGGAUCAGCACGCCGCGGUGAAUACGUUCCCGGGCCUU